This 258-nucleotide unclassified non-coding RNA is filed under the name uncultured fungus. RNAcentral describes it as "partial contains small subunit ribosomal RNA, internal transcribed spacer 1, and 5.8S ribosomal RNA". The stretch from base 1 to 73 matches the Rfam family "Eukaryotic small subunit ribosomal RNA", at positions 1759 to 1831 of the family's 1831-position model. The record is from RNAcentral. Lineage: Eukaryota; Fungi.
ACAAACUUGGUCAUUUAGAGGAAGUAAAAGUCGUAACAAGGUCUCCGUUGGUGAACCAGCGGAGGGAUCAUUACCGAGUUUCACAACUCACCAACCCACUGUGAACAUACCAAAGUUGCCUCGGCGGAAGGCUACGGCCGGAAGCCGAGGGCCCUGAAACCUCUGUAUUUUACAAAGUGUGUCCUCUGAGAAAAUAAACAAUCAAUCAAAACCUUCAACAACGGAUCUCUUGGCUCUGGCAUCAAUGAAGAACGCAGC